UGACCCAAACCCUCACCAGAGUAGCAAUUGGAGGGCAAGUCUGGUGCCAGCAGCCGCGGUAAUUCCAGCUCCAAUAGCGUAUAUUAAACUUGUUGCAGUUAAAAAGCUCGUAGUUGUAUUUUUGCGUUGACGGUUUGACCAUUUGGUUGGUUAUUUCGUUUUCGCUUUUGGGAAUUUCCCUUUUUACUUUGAGAAAAUUAGAGUGUUUCAAGCAGACUUUUGUCUUGAAUACUUCAGCAUGGAAUAAUAGAGUAGGACUUUGGUUCUAUUUUGUUGGUUAUUGAACCUUAGUAAUGGUUAAUAGGAACGGUUGGGGGCAUUCGUAUUUAACUGUCAGAGGUGAAAUUCUUAGAUUUGUUAAAGACGAACUACUGCGAAAGCAUUUGCCAAGGACGUUUCCAUUAAUCAAGAACGAAAGUUAGGGG
This 425-nucleotide ribosomal RNA is filed under the name Babesia canis. RNAcentral describes it as "SSU rRNA". It matches the Rfam family "Eukaryotic small subunit ribosomal RNA", at positions 521 to 996 of the family's 1831-position model. The record is from RNAcentral. Lineage: Eukaryota; Apicomplexa; Aconoidasida; Piroplasmida; Babesiidae.